This 107-nucleotide small nuclear RNA is filed under the name Tupaia belangeri chinensis (Chinese tree shrew). Lineage: Eukaryota; Metazoa; Chordata; Mammalia; Scandentia; Tupaiidae. The record is from RNAcentral.
GUGCUCGCUUGGGCAGCACAUAUACUAAAAUUGGAACGAUACCGAGAAGAUUAGCAUGGCCCCUGCGCGAGGAUGACACACAAAUUCAUGAAGCGUUGCAUAUUUUU